UACGUAGGGGGCAAGCGUUGUCCGGAAUCAUUGGGCGUAAAGCGCGUGUAGGCGGCUCGAUAAGUCUGCUGUGAAAGUUCAGGGCUCAACCCUGAAAUGCCGGUGGAAACUGUCGAGCUAGAGUCCGGAAGAGGCGAGUGGAAUUCCUGGUGUAGCGGUGAAAUGCGCAGAUAUCAGGAAGAACACCCGUGGCUAAGGCGGCUCUCUAGUACGGUACUGACGCUGAGACGCGAAAGCGUGGGGAGCGAACAGG
Molecule: ribosomal RNA, 253 nt
Filed under: uncultured bacterium
Lineage: Bacteria
Description: partial 16S ribosomal RNA
Rfam family: Bacterial small subunit ribosomal RNA
Source: RNAcentral